UGGGGAAUAUUGGACAAUGGGCGAAAGCCUGAUCCAGCCAUGCCGCGUGUGUGAAGAAGGUCUUCGGAUUGUAAAGCACUUUAAGUUGGGAGGAAGGGCAGUAAGCGAAUACCUUGCUGUUUUGACGUUACCGACAGAAUAAGCACCGGCUAACUCUGUGCCAGCAGCCGCGGUAAUACAGAGGGUGCAAGCGUUAAUCGGAAUUACUGGGCGUAAAGCGCGCGUAGGUGGUUCGUUAAGUUGAAUGUGAAAGCCCCGGGCUCAACCUGGGAACUGCAUCCAAAACUGGCGGGCUAGAGUAGGGCAGGGGGUGGUGGAAUUGCCUGUGUAGCGGUGAAAUGCGUAGAGAUAGGAAGGAACACCAGUGGCGAAGGCGACCACCUGGGCUCAUACUGACACUGAGGUGCGAAAGCGUGGGGAGCAAACAGG
This 429-nucleotide ribosomal RNA is filed under the name Pseudomonadota bacterium. RNAcentral's name for it is "Proteobacteria bacterium partial 16S ribosomal RNA". It matches the Rfam family "Bacterial small subunit ribosomal RNA", at positions 355 to 776 of the family's 1533-position model. The record is from RNAcentral. Lineage: Bacteria; Pseudomonadati; Pseudomonadota.